UGGGGAAUAUUGGACAAUGGGCGCAAGCCUGAUCCAGCCAUGCCGCGUGAGUGAUGAAGGCCCUAGGGUUGCAAAGCUCUUUUGUGCGGGAAGAUAAUGACGGUACCGCAAGAAUAAGCCCCGGCUAACUUCGUGCCAGCAGCCGCGGUAAUACGAAGGGGGCUAGCGUUGCUCGGAAUCACUGGGCGUAAAGGGUGCGUAGGCGGGUCUUUAAGUCAGGGGUGAAAUCCUGGAGCUCAACUCCAGAACUGCCUUUGAUACUGAAGAUCUUGAGUUCGGGAGAGGUGAGUGGAACUGCGAGUGUAGAGGUGAAAUUCGUAGAUAUUCGCAAGAACACCAGUGGCGAAGGCGGCUCACUGGCCCGAUACUGACGCUGAGGCACGAAAGCGUGGGGAGCAAAACAGGAUUAGAUACCCUGGUAGUCCACGCCGUAAACGAUGAAUGCCAGCCGUUAGUGGGUUUACUCACUAGUGGCGCAGCU
RNAcentral lists this ribosomal RNA (481 nucleotides) under uncultured Pseudomonadota bacterium. RNAcentral describes it as "bacterial SSU rRNA". It matches the Rfam family "Bacterial small subunit ribosomal RNA", at positions 355 to 853 of the family's 1533-position model. Lineage: Bacteria; Pseudomonadati; Pseudomonadota. The record is from RNAcentral.